AACGUAGGAGGCAAGCGUUAUCCGGAUUUACUGGGCGUAAAGCGCGUGCAGGCGGUUUGGCAAGUUGGAUGUGAAAGCUCCCGGCUCAACUGGGAGAGGUCGUUCAAAACUGCCAGACUGGAGGAUGGUAGAGGGAGGUGGAAUUCCGGGUGUAGUGGUGAAAUGCGUAGAUAUCCGGAGGAACACCAGUGGCGAAAGCGGCCUCCUGGACCAUUUCUGACGCUCAGACGCGAAAGCUAGGGGAG
RNAcentral lists this ribosomal RNA (245 nucleotides) under uncultured bacterium. RNAcentral's name for it is "partial 16S ribosomal RNA". It matches the Rfam family "Bacterial small subunit ribosomal RNA", at positions 524 to 768 of the family's 1533-position model. The record is from RNAcentral.